This 253-nucleotide ribosomal RNA is filed under the name uncultured bacterium. RNAcentral's name for it is "partial 16S ribosomal RNA". It matches the Rfam family "Bacterial small subunit ribosomal RNA", at positions 524 to 776 of the family's 1533-position model. The record is from RNAcentral.
GACGAACCGUGCGAACGUUGUUCGGAAUCACUGGGCUUAAAGGGCGCGUAGGCGGGUCACCAAGUCCGGGGUGAAAUCUUUCGGCUCAACCGGAAAAUUGCCUUGGAUACUGGUGGUCUUGAGGGAGGUAGGGGCAUGUGGAACUUCCGGUGGAGCGGUGAAAUGCGUUGAUAUCGGAAGGAACGCCGGUGGCGAAAGCGACGUGCUGGAUCUCUUCUGACGCUGAGGCGCGAAAGCUAGGGGAGCAAACGGG